Molecule: non-coding RNA, 105 nt
Organism: Cherax quadricarinatus
Lineage: Eukaryota; Metazoa; Arthropoda; Malacostraca; Decapoda; Parastacidae
Source: RefSeq, a predicted model, not a curated record
UUGCUUUGGGCAGUAAUUUAUACUAAAAUUUGGGAACGAUCAGAGAAGAUUAGCAUGACCCCUCAAAAGCAGGGACCGCAAAAUUGUGAACGUCCCACAUUUUUU